Molecule: ribosomal RNA, 253 nt
Filed under: uncultured bacterium
Lineage: Bacteria
Description: partial 16S ribosomal RNA
Rfam family: Bacterial small subunit ribosomal RNA
Source: RNAcentral
GACAGAGGGUGCAAACGUUGUUCGGAAUUACUGGGCGUAAAGCGCGUGUAGGCGGCUAAGUAAGUCGGGCGUGAAAUCCCACGGCUCAACCGUGGAAGUGCACUCGAAACUGCGUAGCUAGAGUCCUGGAGAGGAAGGUGGAGUGCUUGGUGUAGAGGUGAAAUUCGUAGAUAUCAAGCGGAACACCGGUGGCGAAGGCGGCCUUCUGGACAGUGACUGACGCUGAGACGCGAAAGCGUGGGGAGCAAACAGG